GUCCACGCUGUAAACGAUGUCGACUUGGAGGUUGUGCCCUUGAGGCGUGGCUUCCGGAGCUAACGCGUUAAGUCGACCGCCUGGGGAGUACGGCCGCAAGGUUAAAACUCAAAUGAAUUGACGGGGGCCCGCACAAGCGGUGGAGCAUGUGGUUUAAUUCGAUGCAACGCGAAGAACCUUACCUACUCUUGACAUCCAGAGAAUUUAGCAGAGAUGCUUUAGUGCCUUCGGGAACUCUGAGACAGGUGCUGCAUGGCUGUCGU
RNAcentral lists this ribosomal RNA (263 nucleotides) under uncultured bacterium. RNAcentral describes it as "partial 16S ribosomal RNA". It matches the Rfam family "Bacterial small subunit ribosomal RNA", at positions 793 to 1055 of the family's 1533-position model. The record is from RNAcentral.